Molecule: long non-coding RNA, 599 nt
Organism: Bubalus bubalis (water buffalo)
Lineage: Eukaryota; Metazoa; Chordata; Mammalia; Artiodactyla; Bovidae
Exons: 2
Source: RefSeq, a predicted model, not a curated record
CUGCCACAUUCUGUCUACCAUAGCCAGUCGCUCCAGGACCUCCUGCUUAAGAUCUCCUGUCUAAUAAACAUUGAUGUUUCUGUUGCUGUUUCCUGGCUCUUCUUUGGUCUUAAGGCUGGCUUCUUUCAGGUUUGAACGGGUACCAGGACUUUCCCGCAUGGCUCACUUCCUCCACCUCUGAAAUGAAACCAUCAGCAAAGCCAAGUGAUACGUCAUCUGCUGGCCGUGGAUCUAACUACGUUUUUAUACUCCGGAGACCAAGCAUGGCCCCUCAACCAGCAGCAUUAGCACCACCUGGGAGAGAACUUGUUGGAGAUGCAGACCCUAGGCUCCACGCUAGGCCCACCAAGUUAGAAACUGAGAAUGAGCCCAGGAAUCUGUUUUAACCACCCCUGCAGUUGAUUCUGAUGUAGGCCAAAGUCCAAGACCCAUAGCACUAGAUAACUUUCAAAUAACCUCCUAAUUUGGGGUUAUGAGUUGUAUAAGCCCCUUCUCUGACCACCUGGCUUUAAUUCAUAGCUCCAGGCACAAUGAGUGGUUACAUAGUCUUUUGUUUGGCUAGUUAGGUAUUAUCUAUCACUGUCCAUGCCCUCUAAGCU